Molecule: non-coding RNA, 111 nt
Organism: Otolemur garnettii (small-eared galago)
Lineage: Eukaryota; Metazoa; Chordata; Mammalia; Primates; Galagidae
Source: Rfam
ACACUCUGGUUUCUCUUCAGAUUGUAUAAAUCUUUUGCCUUUUACUAAAGAUUUCUGUGGAGAGGAACAAUUCUGAGUCUUUUUUUUUUUUUUGUAGAGACAAGAGUCUCA